AGUCGCCAACACACAUCCCUGCGCACACGUUGUCGGGUUUGCUGUCCCCUAUCAGAGACCUGCCGAACUUCUGGGGUUCGGAGGAGCCGGGUGGGAAGGUGGUUUGGGGUGUUAGGAGCGAUUGCUGACAGGGACCACGUUCUCGCAUGCAUGAGCUCUACCCACUUGAUACCUGAAAUCAGGUUCAUCUGUUUCAACUGGUGCUUAUGACCAUCGGAUGGGGGGCGGGGGAGGGUGGGCAGGAGCAAAGCGGAGUGUUUUUCAGUAAUUAGCGAGUGUCAAUAAAGAAUAGGAGCUUGAUUUUGAGAUUAGAAGGUAGGCAAAAGAGAGAAGAGCCCACUGACAAAAGAUACUCAAGGAGGACGGGAAGAUGUAGCUGAGGCUGACAAUGAAUUGUAGGUUUUCCCAGUGUGAUCCCUCCAGAAAGAGAACACCCUCUAUGCGUGUCCUUGUUUCUCUUUUUUGUUUAGGGUCCUUCUCUAGUUAGGCAGCACAACCUCGGACAAAGGCUGAUGUGUGCUUCCAUGCCUUUGACUUUGUCUUAGAGGACUAGUUAAGAAACUCCCAGGAUGCUGAAGGGCACCGAUGCCAAGUUGGCUAGCCGUCCCAGGGAGGAUGAAGUGGGGCUGGUGACAAGUUCACUGGGCUUUGUGAAGUGGAAUAAAGAAAGUGCUGGUCAGUGGAAAGUGCUGGCUCUGCUGCGGAAACAGUGGUUUUUUUCAGCAGCGAUUAGGAGCUGCUGAGGGGACAUUCUGCAGGAAAGAUGGUGGGUGGGGGCGGGGGGACACGGGUAUUUAAAAAUUGUACAGUGUGCACCAUGGAAAGUCCAAGAAGACAGUCCGGAUUUGCACAUAGGAAGUGUGAACUUGUACAGUCCGUCCUGGAGAAACCCGCUUGCCCUUGGGGGGAGGGCUGUGAGAGGCUCGGUGUGUGGCUGCUCGUGUAAUUUCUUCGCUUAGUGACAGCAGCUUGUUAAGGCUAAUGAACGGCUGAAUUUCCUCUGCCGGGAUCCAAAGCAGGAUUUGCCAGCUUGAGGCUGAGAUGUAACAGUCUCUGCUUUAGCAAAAGAGGUUUGGCUUUUGGUAUAAGGAGCCGAGUGGCAAGGCGGAUCCUUUAACUGUACCAUUGUUGCUAGUUCACUUCUGGUCAGAGGCUGUGAGUUUUCCUCCAGGUAUUGGCGUCUGGUGUCUCUGUGUCCACACAUGCAUUCUUGUCCAAGGACGCUAGCAGAUGCUUGACUCUGUCUCUCUGUAAACACAUACACAGUUCACAUAUUUUUAGAAUAAAGUCUUUCUUCAAUGCAUCCUUUUCCUUAUCCUUAACGAGAGUGUGUCUCAUGAAGGGUCUCACUGGAUCUUUUUCUUCCUUUUAUUUCCAAUGCUAAUUAAACCAAAAUCUUCUGAAAUAGCCUUCAUUUCACACUGUCAGCCCACUGGAUAUGGGAUAAUUGUCCUGCUUAAUAGUCAGUGAGCCUGUGACAAAGUCACUGACUGUGGCAGGGCUCCCUCUCGUCACGGAGAUCCUCGUUUUGACAUUGGAUUUUCUGGCAAUGAUGCCUUAGCCACAUAGCUCCAAGUCUGAAAAUAAUCGUUGCUGGUAUAAUUCUGAAAUCCAAAUGGACAUCACACAUUAACAGCUCUCCAUUCCUGGGCUCUGACUGCAUACUUAAGCACUCGGCCCAAGCCUGGGCUGCCAGGUGCUAUAUCAGCCAGGAAAACAAAGCAAACUGUAGGGUCUGUCCAUCCGUAGGUUUGCCUCAGUCCCCAAUUCGCAGAUAGCCUUGUCAUGAAUUAGAAUUUCUUGGCAACAGCACCACCCAGGGAAAUUUGUAGACACAAAGGAGCCUUGCUAGCCACACUGAAAGGAUAAAAUAACUGUUUUUUUUUGUAUUGUGCAAUGGGCUUUUAAUUAUCUUUGCUGGACCCCACGACUGGCAAAUGCAGAAAAUCGCUCUGUGAUUCCAGUUCACUCGAUAUAUCAGUUAGCCUAUGUGUUAGAACUGCGAUUUGCUGAAAGUUUAGGACAGCUCCCCAACUUAACUUGAAUGGUGCCAGAGGAAUAUACAUAUCCUUAUUCUAUCUAAAAUUCCCCAAAUAAACAAAAUGUUGCCAUUACUGGGACAUGCUUUUACCUAAGAUUGUUUGUGAUUUUGCUGUGCCCCACCUUGCCCAGAUUAGUUCCUGCUAAUUGGCAGAAUUAUUUCUACCACCCUACAUCCCUUUAGUUUUCCUUCUCGGGGUAUUUGGUGUGACCCUAAGAACUUGGUCCCGUUUAAACGACUCAUGUCCAUCCCCCCUCCAUUCGAGCAGUACCACAUGCUUGAUAUAUAAAUGUUACAGCUGAGCGUUUGCAGUAGCCUUGAGAUCUGAGUCUAGUAUCAGCCCAAAUGAGGAGCUUGACUGUAGUAAGGCAGAGAAAGCAUGUUCAAAAUUAAGUUAAACAGAAUAGAGCAUGAGUGCCAGAAAGAAGGAAAGAAAGAAAGAAACAUUCAGUUCUGUGUUGGAACACUGACCUGUGCCUAUCUGUAUUACCCACAUAGUUCCAACCUUGUUUAUAAAACAUACUUGAGAUUUACUAAGUUCUGUUGUGAAAAAGCUUUCAGCCAAUGUCAUGUUGUGGGCUGGAUACUUUUAGGGCAGAUGAGUAUACAAUGUGAAUACACAUAUCCAUAAUGGCCAGGAAACAGUGCCCAUGUCUGUGCCAUUCGGAAAUGAUUAGAGGUUUGACAUUCUAGUCAUUGUAACUCCUUUCUUUUUCUUGAAUCUAAUAAAAAAUUAGGUGAAAAGAUCUAAUUAGCGGAAGUCUAAAAUUAGUUGAAAAAUCCCACUGACUUGGCUUCUGAGGUGCUUUAGCAUCAGCCUGUCAUGGAUGGCACCCUUGGCCAUUGCCUUGCCACAAUCCCUGUCACCUCCCUGGACUUGCCUUUUUGCCACCAUCACCCCAGGUGGCCUGCUUUCAAACUGUUCAUGGCUCCCUCUUAUACAUAGCAUGAGGCCAAACUUCCAAGAGUCAGGGUGUUCCAAGACUGGGUCUACACAAUAUUUGCAAGUUCCCCCCUUUUCACAUGUAGUAAAUGCCAUCCAAAUUAAGUGACUAUGCUUUUCCUGCUUCUGUCUUUAUUUUUGUUGUUUCCUUUAGCCUUUUUCCUCUUCCUCCCUCUCCCCUUCCUGAUUUUCUUUGUCCAAGUUCCACCCAUUCCUUAACUUUCAAAUGGGUGCCAAACUCCCUCCCUUGCUACCAGCCAACUGUAACUGCUAUGAUUUCCAUACUCUUGUGCAGAGCUUUUUACUUCCCCG
RNAcentral lists this long non-coding RNA (3296 nucleotides) under Homo sapiens (human). RNAcentral's name for it is "HSALNT0308478". Lineage: Eukaryota; Metazoa; Chordata; Mammalia; Primates; Hominidae. The record is from RNAcentral.